This 237-nucleotide non-coding RNA is filed under the name Clostridium sp. RNAcentral's name for it is "T-box sequence". It matches the Rfam family "T-box leader". From Rfam's summary of the family: Uncharged tRNA acts as the effector for transcription antitermination of genes in the T-box leader family. T-boxes are found upstream of many aminoacyl-tRNA synthetase genes and some amino acid biosynthetic genes usually in Gram-positive bacteria. Lineage: Bacteria; Bacillati; Bacillota; Clostridia; Eubacteriales; Clostridiaceae. The record is from RNAcentral.
UAAUAAGCUAUGAAAGAGAAAAGUAGAUAGAUAGUCAUUUUACAGAGAUUUAAGCAGGGGUGGAAGCUUAAAAAUUGAUGCUAUUGAAGGAAGCUCCGGAGCUAUAAACUGAAACAGCAUAUUAAAAAAAUUGCCAGUAGGUUUAUGGGAUUCUUCCCUUAAAGAGAAUGAGUGGAUUAAUUUUAACUAAUUAAUCAAUUUAGGUGGUAACGCGGAAUUUUGUCUUUCGUCCUAAUA